Molecule: ribosomal RNA, 254 nt
Filed under: uncultured bacterium
Lineage: Bacteria
Description: partial 16S ribosomal RNA
Rfam family: Bacterial small subunit ribosomal RNA
Source: RNAcentral
UACAGAGGUCUCAAGCGUUGUUCGGAUUCAUUGGGCGUAAAGGGUGCGUAGGUGGCGCUGUAAGUCGGGUGUGAAAUUUCGGAGCUUAACUCCGAAACUGCAUUCGAUACUGCGGUGCUUGAGGACUGGAGAGGAGACUGGAAUUCAUGGUGUAGCAGUGAAAUGCGUAGAGAUCAUGAGGAAGACCAGUGGCGAAGGCGGGUCUCUGGGACGGUACUGACGCUGGAGACGCGAAAGCGUGGGGAGCGAACAGG